Molecule: ribosomal RNA, 253 nt
Filed under: uncultured bacterium
Lineage: Bacteria
Description: partial 16S ribosomal RNA
Rfam family: Bacterial small subunit ribosomal RNA
Source: RNAcentral
UACGGAGGGCGCAAGCGUUGUUCGGAAUCACUGGGCGUAAAGCGCGUGUAGGCGGCUUGGCAAGUCGGGUGUGAAAUCCCGAGGCUCAACCUCGGAACUGCACUCGAAACUGCUUGGCUCGAGUCCCGGAGAGGGUGGCGGAAUUCCCGGUGUAGGGGUGAAAUCCGUAGAUAUCGGGAGGAACACCAGUGGCGAAGGCGGCCACCUGGACGGUGACUGACGCUGAGAAGCGAAAGCGUGGGGAGCAAACAGG